Long non-coding RNA from Piliocolobus tephrosceles (Ugandan red Colobus), 4262 nucleotides. RefSeq lists it as uncharacterized. Lineage: Eukaryota; Metazoa; Chordata; Mammalia; Primates; Cercopithecidae. The record is from RefSeq and is a predicted model, not a curated record. The transcript has 2 exons.
UCCAGCUACUUGGGUAGCUGAGGUGGGAGGAUUACUUGAGCCCAGGAGUUUGAGGCUGCACUGAGCUGUGAUUGCCACUGCACUUCAGCCUGGGAGACAGAGGAAGACCCUGUAUCUGUUCCCCCCCGAAAUUUAGCGAUUGUAUUCCUUUACAUCGUACUGUAGAGAGUUGAUGUUUGUGUUCACUCCCUAACCUCAUUCCACUUUCCCCUGCAAGUAUACUUCAGAAUAUCUCAGAUCCAAUUCAAAAUUUAAUCUUAAAAGGUGUAAUUAUUUUCACAGUUUCAUAGUUUAGUUUUGAUCACUGAAAGCAUUUCUUUCGUUUUGUCUAAUUGAACAAAUUUAUGCAAAGAAUUGGGGACUUACUCCUCAUUAGCAUUGUUCAUCUAUAGGUGGAAAUAAGUUCAAGUAUGUGUCGCAGUAUUAAUUAAAGGCAAAGUGAUCUAUUUGUAUUACAUUCUGAAUAAAUACUUAUUGAAUGAAUGAAAAAUAGAAGUAUGAUUCAAUUAUUUUAGAAUCUUAAGUUAUACAGAUUUAUGUAAUGUCUAUUUUGAUUUUUAUUAAUUAACCAUGAAUUUAUCCUACUCUAGUACUGAGAAAAAGAAAAUGGAACUGUGGGUCCUUCUUUCAUAUGAUACUUAGGAAUGUAUCUGCACUGUAUCCAGAAGGUCUGCUGGAUUUGCUCAAGGUCCACUCCAGACCCUGUUUGCCUGGGUAUCACCGGUGGAGGCUGCAGAACAGCAAAGAUUGCUAACUGUUCCUUCCUCUGGAAGCUUUUUCCCAGAGGGUCACCCACCAGAUGCCAGCCAGGGCUCUCCUGUAUGAGGUGACUGUUGGCCCUACUGGGAAGUUUCUCCCAAUCGGGAUACACAGGGGUCAGGGUCCCACUUGAGGAAGCAGUCUAUCCCUUAUCAGAGGUUGAACACUGUGUUAGUAGAUCUGCUGCUCUCUUCAGAACUACCAAGCAGGGAUAUUUAAGUCAGCUGAAGCUGCGCCUACAACCGCCCCUUCCCAGAGUUGCUCUGUCCCAGGGAGGUGGGGGUUUUAUCUAUAAGUCACUGACUGGGGCUGCUGCCUUUUUUUCCGAGAGGGAAUCUAGAGGAGGCAGUCUGGCCUCAGAGGCCUUGCUUAGCUGUGGUGGGCUUCACCCAGUUUGAACAUCCUGGUGGCUUUGUUUACACCGAUGAGGGGGAAACUGCCUACUCAAACCUCAGCAAUGGUGGAUGCCCCUCCACCCACCAAGCUCGAGUGUCCCAGGUUGAGCUCAGAUUGUUGUGUUGUGCUGGCCGCAAGACUUUCAAGCCAGUAUAUCUUAGCUUGCUGGGCUCCGUGGGAGUGGGACUCGCCGAGCCACAGCACUUGGCUCCCUGGCUUCAGCCCCCUUUCCAGGGGAGUGAACGGUUCUGUCUCUCUGGCUUUCCAGGUCCCACUGGGGUAUGAGAAAUAAACUCCUGCAGCUAGCUCAGUGUCUGCCCAAAUGCCCACCCAGUUUUGUGCUGGAAACCCAGGGUCCCUGGUGGUGUAGGCACUGGAGGGAAUCUCCUGGUCUGCAGGUUGCAAAGACUGUGGGAAUAGCGCAGUAUCUGGGCCAGAAUGCACGGUACAGUACCAAGUGGCUUCCCUUGGCCGACAGGGAGUUCCCCGACACCUUGCACUUCCCAGGUGAGGUCAUACCACACCCUGCUCCACCUCGCCCUCCUUGGGCUACACCCACAGUCCAACCAGACCCAAUGAAGUGAACUGUGUAACUCAGUUGGAAAUGCAGAAAUCACCCACCUUCUGCAUUGAUCUCGUUGGGAGCUGCAGACCAAAGCUGUUCCUAUUUGACCAUAUUGCCAGGCUCCCGUUGUUCUGGGAAUUUUUUUUUUUUUUUUUUUUUUUUUUUUUACCAUGUUAGUUUAGGUUGAUUCAGCACAAAUGCUUGCAAAACAUUUCAAUAUUUAUAUUCUAUGAAAAUGUCUACUAUUACAAAAGAGCAUCAACAUUCCAAUUAGGGCAUUUUAAGGUUUCUAACAUUAAAAACAUGAAAAAAUAUUAGGCAGAAUAUACAAUAUUUCACUAUGUAUUUUAUUUGACUCUUAUUUGAAAUAAUUAUAUGCUAAAACAAUUAAUGACUGGUAAAUAAUUGUUUGUGUUCUAAAGCAUGUGAGGCCAGUUUAAAGGAAGUGAGUAAUUGUAUUUUUUUGGUGACUGCAUUAGAAAACAAUUAUUGGGAGAUCAACUUCUGGAAAGAUCGAGUAGAUAUGCUUUCCCCCACUCCUCCUGGUAAGUACAGCUAACAACGUUAGGUCUUAUAAAACAAACAGUAAAAGAUUCUGACUUUAGCCAACACAGCUACUGUGGCCCCUCCUCCACCUCCAGCAGCAAAGGCUCCCCAACUAGGGAGUUGGGAGCCAAGACUGUCACCUGAUCUGGUGAUAAGGAAACCCUUUCAUUCCUAGUAAGAAGCCUGAACUCCCACUCUAGAUGUGGAGGAACCAGGUACCCCUCUUACCCUGGAUUUUUAACAGAGGCAGAAUGAGGAACUUAGAUUUCUAACUCUACCUGACAGUAAUAAGGUGAAGUGAGUAUCUCUUUCCCCAUUAAUGUGGUGUCAGAGGAGGUCUACUAAACCGAUUUAGAUAAGAUCUGAAUCCCAUAAUAUCUAAAAUAUUAGGUUUCAAUAAAAAACAUACCAAGAGUCAUGCAAUUCUCAACUCGAUUAAGAAAAAACCAAUAGAUGCCAAAACCAAAAUGAAUCAAAUGUUAGAAUUAUCUAACAAUUAUUUAAAGCAGUCAUCAUCAAAAUGCUUCAUGUGCAACUAGGAAAAAAAGAAAAAUAACCUCAGCAAAUAGAAAGUGACAGAAAAUAAAUAGAUGAUAUAAGAAAUAAAGAAAAUAAAGAUUAUUCACUCUGAAUAAUAAAGGUAAUAUAGACUGAAAAAAAAAUGCAAAAUGCACAGAGGCUUAGGCCCUGUGAGACUUAUAACAAAUGAUAUUUGUAUUAUUGAUAUUGCAGAAGGAGAGGAUAAUAGGUUGGGCUGAAAAGAUAUUCAAAGUAAUAACAAUUGAAAAUUUCCCCAACUUUAACAAAUGCCAUUAACCUACACAUUCAAGAAACUGAGCGAACCCCAAACAGAAUAAACUGAAUGAAAUCCAGGUCAAAACACAUCGUAAUCAAAAUUACAAAAGCUAAAGACAGAGAACCUUAAAAGCAGAGAUAGAGAAACAACACCUCACCCACUGGGGAAAACCAAAUGAAUGACAGUGCAUUUCACAUCAGAAACUAUGGAAGACAAAAGAAGUGUCACAUUUUCCAAAUGCUCCUAGAAAAGUACAGUAGGCAGUCCAAAGUUCUAUAUCUGAUGAAAGAAUCUCUGAAUAAUGAAAUAGAAGUCAGGAUAUCCUUAAUGAAAACAACUAAGAAACUGGCAGACCUAUCUUAAAAUAAUGGUUAAAGAAGGUUCUUCAAAGAGGUAGGGAAUCAUGAAGGAUUUUGGGACCAUCAGGAAGGGAGAAAUAACACUUUCUUGAGGGAGUAGAAGCAUCAAAUAUAAUAGACAUUCUUCCCUUCUUGAUUCUUCCCUUCUUGAUUUUUCUCUAUAAUUUUUAACUUAAAGCAAAAAUUACAACACUGAUCUGGUUCUCAAUGUAAUGUAAAUGUAAAGGACAUACUGAAGAUGCUUACAAAGGAGCAAGAUAAAGGGACGUAAAAGUACGUAAGGUUUUUAAACUUCAUUCAAAUUGGUAAAAUUUCAAUAUCAAUAAGUUGUGACAACUUAUAUUUAAAGUUACAUAUUCACUUAUAUAAUACCUAGAACAACCACCAAUAAAGCUAUAAAAGAAACAUAAUGAAAUUACUAGGGAUACAUCAAAAUGGAAUUCUAAAAAAAGUUCUAGUAACUCACAGGAAUGAAGGGAAAAUCAGUAAGGAAAAACAGAAGAAAUGGUAAAUAAAAAUAAUGGUGGACUUAGGUUCUAAUUAAUAAUUAUCAUAAAUCUAAAUAGGCUUCUUAUACCAAUAAGACAGAGAUUGGUAGUGGAUGAAAAAGAACCUCACUAUAUGCUGCCUACAAGAAACUCAAUUCAACUGGAACAAUAUAGGUAGGUUGAAUGUAAAAGGAUGCAAAUGUAUUUGCCAUAUAGACAUUAAUCAAAAUCAAGCAAGAGUGAUAUAUUGAUACCUGAUAAAAUGGAUGUUAGAGCAAAGAAAAUUACCAGGAACAAAAAGAGACGUUACAUAAUAAGAAAAGAAUCAACCCACCAAGAAAAUAUAAACUAAA